RNAcentral lists this ribosomal RNA (254 nucleotides) under uncultured bacterium. RNAcentral describes it as "partial 16S ribosomal RNA". It matches the Rfam family "Bacterial small subunit ribosomal RNA", at positions 524 to 776 of the family's 1533-position model. The record is from RNAcentral.
UACGAAGGGGGCUAGCGUUGCUCGGAAUCACUGGGCGUAAAGCGCACGUAGGCGGGUCGUUAAGUCGGGGGUGAAAUCCUGGAGCUCAACUCCAGAACUGCCUCCGAUACUGGCGAUCUUGGAGUCCGGGAGAGGUGAGUGGAACUGCGAGUGUAGAGGUGAAAUUCGUAGAUAUCCGGAAGAACACCAGUGGCGAAGGCGGCUCACUAGCCCGAUACUGACGCUGAGACACGAAAGCUAGGGGAGCAAACAGG